This is a long non-coding RNA of Crotalus tigris (Tiger rattlesnake), 950 nucleotides long. RefSeq lists it as uncharacterized. The transcript has 2 exons. The record is from RefSeq and is a predicted model, not a curated record. Lineage: Eukaryota; Metazoa; Chordata; Lepidosauria; Squamata; Viperidae.
CUUCUGCAGCGGAUCUGACAUUACUGGCGUCGCGGAGGAGAAAAGCGGACUAAACUCCACCCCGCUACUCUGUAUGCUCACGAAGAGGACGUCCUAGGCGAAAGCUCACGUGGUGAUCCUUCCAAACUCCAGGAUCUGGGUAAGGACUUCCAGUGCACCACCAUCUUGACUGGAGGUGAAGAUGUACGUGUGGAUAUAAUCAACACUUUGAUGAUACCUCUCCCCAAACUGUUAGAUAACUUCCUCAGAAGUUUCAUAGAGCUAGAUAUUGAAAAUCUGGAGAGAGAUCUGGGAUUUGUGACACUCCAUAAAGAAGUGGCCAGUGGAUUGACGACUUCUCCAGCACCAUUGACUGAAGUGGUUUGUCCAGAUACGAGUGUAAAAAAGUGCCAACUCAACCACAUCCCUUUUAGACAAUCUAGAAGAAUGCCACUAGAGAGAGUGAUUGGCCCAAGGCUGCUACCCACCUGGCUUUCAUGGCUAAGGCAGGACAAGGACUCCCAGUCUCCUGCUUUCUAGGCUGGUGCCUUAACCAUCAGACCAAACUGGCUUGAGUUGAUGCCCCUAUUAGACCUUUAGAAUCACCAAAGCCAGUUUUGGAAGACAUAGAUGAUUGUUGUUUUUUUCAGCAGUUGUCAAAAGAAAAUUUCUCUGGACUUUCUACAUCAACCAGUUGAUGCCAGUUAAUUUUGUGAAAAGACUCCCGCUCACUGAUCAAAAGGUCACAUUUACAAGGGGGGCAGGAUUUUAUGCAUGUUCAGGAGUGCUGUCUGCUAGUAAUAUUUUUUUUUUUUUUUGGCCCAUUGCAGUUCGUGUAGUUUGAAAGAAUUGCAGAGUUACUGGGCAGAAUUUUUUCAGCAGCUUUUUAGUAGUUAGUUCAUAAAGAAUAAUUGUGAUUGGGCCUGUCUGUGCUGCUUCUGAUUAAUUAGGCAUUAAAAUAUUUUAAACAA